AACGAACGCUGGCGGCGCGCCUAAUACAUGCAAGUCGAGCGAGAAGACGUAGCAAUACGUUUGUAAAGCGGCGAACGGGUGAGGAAUACAUGGGUAACCUACCCUCGAGUGGGGAAUAACUAGCCGAAAGGUUAGCUAAUACCGCGUACGCUCCUCGGACUUCGGUUCAGGGAGGAAAGCGAUACCGUGGGUAUCGCGCUCUUGGAUGGGCUCAUGUCCUAUCAGCUUGUUGGUGAGGUAACGGCUCACCAAGGCUUCGACGGGUAGCUGGUCUGAGAGGACGAUCAGCCACACUGGCACUGCGACACGGGCCAGACUCCUACGGGAGCAGCAGUAAGGAAUAUUGCGCAAUGGGCAAAGCCUGACGCAGCGACGCCGCGGUGGGGGAU
Molecule: ribosomal RNA, 389 nt
Filed under: uncultured bacterium
Lineage: Bacteria
Description: bacterial SSU rRNA
Rfam family: Bacterial small subunit ribosomal RNA
Source: RNAcentral